This is a long non-coding RNA of Homo sapiens (human), 1337 nucleotides long. Ensembl annotates it as urothelial cancer associated 1. Its record names the gene UCA1. Lineage: Eukaryota; Metazoa; Chordata; Mammalia; Primates; Hominidae. The record is from Ensembl.
GCUGACUCUCUUUUCAGACUCAGCCCACUUGCACCCAAGUGAAUUAACAGCCUUGUUGCUCACACAAAGCCUGUUUAGGUGGUCUUCUAUACGGACAUGCUUGACACUUGGUGCCAAAAUCUGGGCCAGGGGGACUCCUUCGUGAGACCGGCCCCCUGUCCUGGCCCUCAUUCCGUGAAGAGAUCCACCUGCGACCUCGGGUCCUCAGACCAGCCCAAGGAACAUCUCACCAAUUUCAAAUCGGAUCUCCUCGGCUUAGUGGCUGAAGACUGAUGCUGCCCGAUCGCCUCAGAAGCCCCUUGGACCAUCACAGAUGCCGAGCUUCGGGUAACUCUUACGGUGGAGGGCGUUGUUGGAUACUUCCGACUCUGGGUACCAAGGUUUUGCCAUUCUAACCAAACUGCUUUACAAACUCACUAAAGAUUCCCAGCCAUAUGAAGACACCCUAGCUGGACGAUCAGUCCUUGUCAAAAGUCUGACCCCUCAAACUCUACAGCCUCAAUGGACCAGACCCUACCCGGUCAUUUAUAGCACACCAACUGCCGUCCAUCUGCAGGACCCUCUCCAUUGGGUUCACCAUUCCAGAAUAAAGCCAUGCCCAUCAGACAGCCAGCUUGAUCUCUCCUCUUCCUCCUGGAAGCCACAAGAUUAGGCCGAGAGCCGAUCAGACAAACAACCUACAACCCUUAAGCUCCUGGCAGCGCCCAGCCAAGGCCAUGCUUCCUUGCAACACUCCUUCCAAAUGGCCAUCCCAGCAUGCUUCCAAGCAGGCUUCAUCCGUUCCUCUGGACCCUCAUCUCUUAAGACCUGCCGCCUAUAAAAAGGAUUAUAUCUUGAGACCCUAUCCUCUAAAAUUUUUUCCACACCCAAAACAAAAAAUCUCUGGGUCAAAAGUCUAAAACGCUUAGGCUGGCAACCAUCAGAUCCUUGCCCAUGGUGUCCUCAAGCCUACUCUCAUGAAAUGGACAACAGUACACGCAUAUGGGGCCAGUUCCACAUAUUUGGCAACCAGACCAGCAUCCAGGACAACACAAAGUAUGUUGUUUGUUGUUAGAGGGCUUGGGACAUUUCACUCUUUGCCAGCCUCAGCUUAAUCCAGGAGACAAAGAUUAUUUUCCUUAUUAUCUCUUCUGCAUAGGAUCUGCAAUCAGAACUAUUGAACUUCUCCAUUCAGACCGCCACUCACACCUAUGGGAAAAGGGUAAUGUAUCAUCGGCUUAGCAACAGGGAAUACUAUUCGUAUGAUGGAAAAUGGGGACAAAAGGCUUUGGUACAUAAAACAUUAUUCCUUCCUUGGCCUAAAAACUCAUCGCCACCUACAUUAAAGCUAAUAUGCC